GAUGAAGAACGUAGCGAAAUGCGAUAAGUAAUGUGAAUUGCAGAAUUCAGUGAAUCAUCGAAUCUUUGAACGCACAUUGCGCCCCUUGGUAUUCCGAGGGACAUGCCUGUUCGAGCGUCAUAUUAACCACUCCCGCUUGCGGGGUCUUGGGCUUCGCCUCCGGGCGGGCCUUAAAAUCAGUGGCGGUGCCGUCGGGCUCUACGCGUAGUAAAUUUUCUCGCGAUAGGGUCCCGGUGGAUGCUUGCCAACAACCCCCAACUUCUUAAGGUUGACCUCGGAUCAGGUAGGGAUACCCGCUGAACUUAAGCAUAUCAAUAAGCGGAGGA
This 326-nucleotide unclassified non-coding RNA is filed under the name soil metagenome. RNAcentral's name for it is "partial contains 5.8S ribosomal RNA, internal transcribed spacer 2, and large subunit ribosomal RNA". The stretch from base 1 to 120 matches the Rfam family "5.8S ribosomal RNA", at positions 35 to 154 of the family's 154-position model. The record is from RNAcentral.